UGCAAGUCGAACGGUAACAGGGGAGCUUGCUCCCGCUGACGAGUGGCGAACGGGUGAGUAAUGCAUCGGAACGUACCGAGUAAUGGGGGAUAACUAUCCGAAAGGAUGGCUAAUACCGCAUACGAUCUUAGGAUGAAAGUGGGGGACCUUCGGGCCUCACGUUAUUCGAGCGGCCGAUGCCUGAUUAGCUAGUUGGUAGGGUAAAAGCCUACCAAGGCUACGAUCAGUAGCGGGUCUGAGAGGAUGAUCCGCCACACUGGGACUGAGACACGGCCCAGACUCCUACGGGAGGCAGCAGUGGGGAAUUUUGGACAAUGGGGGCAACCCUGAUCCAGCCAUGCCGCGUGUCUGAAGAAGGCCUUCGGGUUGUAAAGGACUUUUGUUAGGGAGGAAAAUUUACCCAUUAAUACUGGGUAAAGCUGACAGUACCUAAAGAAUAAGCACCGGCUAACUACGUGCCAGCAGCCGCGGUAAUACGUAGGGUGCAAGCGUUAAUCGGAAUUACUGGGCGUAAAGCGAGCGCAGGCGGUUUGUUAAGUCAGAUGUGAAAGCCCCGAGCUCAACUUGGGAAUUGCGUUUGAAACUGGCAAGCUAGAGUGUGUCAGAGGGGGGUAGAAUUCCACGUGUAGCAGUGAAAUGCGUAGAGAUGUGGAGG
RNAcentral lists this ribosomal RNA (655 nucleotides) under uncultured bacterium. RNAcentral describes it as "bacterial SSU rRNA". It matches the Rfam family "Bacterial small subunit ribosomal RNA", at positions 56 to 704 of the family's 1533-position model. The record is from RNAcentral.